Long non-coding RNA from Myotis brandtii (Brandt's bat), 503 nucleotides. RefSeq lists it as uncharacterized. The transcript is spliced from 4 exons. The record is from RefSeq and is a predicted model, not a curated record. NCBI's taxonomy places the organism in Eukaryota, Metazoa, Chordata, Mammalia, Chiroptera, Vespertilionidae.
GGUUGGGGGCAGAGUGAAAGAGGUGGAGGGAGGUUGGGGUAAACGUUGCCAAGCUGCUCUUGAACAUCCUGAGGGGGCCAGCUUGGUCCUCCCUUAGGCCACCCCGGAUCAGUGAUAGGAUCAUCUUCUGUGCCCUUUGGGACUGAACCAGAUAUUCUAACCAAGAACCCACAGUAACAGUGAUUUCCUAUCCAAGUCUUUCCAGAGCUGCCCCAGUGAAAGCCUGUCUAAAAUCCUGCAAAUAUGGGGGGGAAAUGAUAACCAAACAUCCUCCUGUACUAUUUCCCUGACUGGUGUGGAAGGUGGUGGGGCUGUUAAAGGGCUAUUCAUGUCCUGACACACUGAGCUCUCAGCCACACACUUCUUGAUUACACAUAUUUAACAAAGUCCAAGAAAAAAAUCCACCAAAACACUUGUCACUAUGUUCCCCCACCAAUCUUUUUAACCAGGGCUAUUUAUGUAACAAAAAUUAAUCACGUUCUACAGAUCGGAAGAGUACACGU